This 841-nucleotide ribosomal RNA is filed under the name Trechispora rigida. Its description in RNAcentral is "partial large subunit ribosomal RNA". It matches the Rfam family "Eukaryotic large subunit ribosomal RNA", at positions 77 to 936 of the family's 3401-position model. The record is from RNAcentral. Lineage: Eukaryota; Fungi; Basidiomycota; Agaricomycetes; Trechisporales; Hydnodontaceae.
CCCCUAGUAACUGCGAGUGAANCGGGAAANGCUCAAAUUUGAAAUCUGGCGGUCCCGCCGCCCGAGUUGUAUUCUGGAGAAGCGUUUUCCGUGCCGGACCGUGUACAAGUUUCCUUGGAACAGGGCGUCAUAGAGGGUGAGAAUCCCGUCUCUGACACGGACCCCCGGUGCCAUGUGAUGCGCUCUCGAAGAGUCGAGUUGUUUGGGAAUGCAGCUCAAAACGGGUGGUAAAUUCCAUCUAAAGCUAAAUAUUGGCGAGAGACCGAUAGCGAACAAGUACCGUGAGGGAAAGAUGAAAAGCACUUUGGAAAGAGAGUAAAACAGUACGUGAAAUUGUUGAAAGGGAAACGCUUGAAGUCAGUCGCGUCUGCCGGAACUCAGCCUUGCUUCUGCUCGGUGCACUUUCCGGUUGACGGGCCAGCAUCGGUUUCGAGCGGUGGACAAACGUGUGGGGAAGGUGGCAGCUCCGGCUGUGUUAUAGCCCCAUGCCUCAACACGCUGCUUGGGACCGAGGAAUCCGGUGCAAGCCUGGGAUGCUGGCGUAAUGGCUUUAAACGACCCGUCUUGAAACACGGACCAAGGAGUGCUACGUGCUCGCGAGUGUUUGGGUGGAAAACCCGAACGCGCAAUGAAAGUGAAAGUCGAUACCCCUCUUGGGGGCACCGACGCCCGAGCCUGAUGUUUUCGGAAGGCCUUGCGGUAGAGCGAGUGCGUUGCGACCCGAAAGAUGGUGAACUAUUCCUGAGGAGGGCGAAGCCAGAGGAAACUCUGGUGGAGGCUNGUAGCGGUUCUGACGUGCAAAUCGAUCGCAGGACUUGGGUAUAGGGGCGAAAGACUAAUC